UCUAGGGGGUGUAGCAAUACAUCACCGGCGGACGGGUGCGUAACGCGUGGGAAUAUACCUAUUGGUUCGGAACAACUGAGGGAAACUUCAGCUAAUACCGAAUGUGCCCUUACGGGGAAAGAUUUAUCGCCAAUGGAUUAGCCCGCGUAGGAUUAGCUAGUUGGUGGGGUAAUGGCCCACCAAGGCUCCGAUCCUUAGCUGUUCUGAGAGGAAGAUCAGCCACACUGGGACUGAGACACGGCCCAGACUCCUACGGGAGGCAGCAGUUGGGAAUCUUGGACAAUGGGGGAAACCCUGAUCCAGCCAUGCCGCGUGAGUGAUGAAGGCCUUCGGGUUGUAAAACUCUUUCGACGGGGACGAUAAUGACGGUACCCGUAGAAGAAGCUCCGGCUAACUUCGUGCCAGCAGCCGCGGUAAUACGAAGGGGGCUAGCGUUGUUCGGAAUUACUGGGCGUAAAGCGCGCGCAGGCGGUCUUCCAAGUCAGUGGUGAAAGCCCGGAGCCUCAACUCCGGAACUGCCAUUGAAACUGUUAGACUUGAGGACGAGAGAGGUGAGUGGAAUUCCCAGUGUAGAGGUUAAAUUCGUAGAUAUUGGGAAGAACACCGGUGGCGAAAGCGGCUCACUGGCUCGUAAUCUGACGCCUCAGGCGC
RNAcentral lists this ribosomal RNA (651 nucleotides) under uncultured bacterium. Its description in RNAcentral is "bacterial SSU rRNA". It matches the Rfam family "Bacterial small subunit ribosomal RNA", at positions 62 to 754 of the family's 1533-position model. The record is from RNAcentral.